RNAcentral lists this ribosomal RNA (254 nucleotides) under uncultured bacterium. RNAcentral describes it as "partial 16S ribosomal RNA". It matches the Rfam family "Bacterial small subunit ribosomal RNA", at positions 524 to 776 of the family's 1533-position model. The record is from RNAcentral.
UACGGAGGAUGCAAGCGUUAUCCGGAAUGAUUGGGCGUAAAGCGUCCGCAGGUGGCUAUGUAAGUCUGCUGUUAAAGAGUGAGGCUCAACCUCAUAAGAGCAGUGGAAACUACAUGGCUAGAGUGCGUUCGGGGCAGAGGGAAUUCCUGGUGUAGCGGUGAAAUGCGUAGAGAUCAGGAAGAACACCGGUGGCGAAAGCGCUCUGCUAGGCCGCAACUGACGCUGAGGGAGCGAAAGCCAGGGGAGCAAACGGG